GACGAACGCUGGCGGCGUGCCUAAUACAUGCAAGUCGAACGAGAGCGACCGGUGCUUGCACUGGUCAAUCUAGUGGCGAACGGGUGAGUAACACGUGGGUAACCUGCCCAUCAGAGGGGGAUAACAUCCGGAAACGGAUGCUAAAACCGCAUAGGUCUUCGAACCGCAUGGUUUGAAGAGGAAAAGAGGCGCAGGCUUCUGCUGAUGGAUGGACCCGCGGUGCAUUAGCUAGUUGGUGAGGUAACGGCUCACCAAGGCCGUGAUGCAUAGCCGACCUGAGAGGGUGAUCGGCCACAUUGGGACUGAGACACGGCCCAAACUCCUACGGGAGGCAGCAGUAGGGAAUCUUCCGCAAUGGACGCAAGUCUGACGGAGCAACGCCGCGUGAGUGAAGAAGGUUUUCGGAUCGUAAAACUCUGUUGUUAGAGAAGAACAAGUGCUAGAGUAACUGUUAGCGCCUUGACGGUAUCUAACCAGAAAGCCACGGCUAACUACGUG
RNAcentral lists this ribosomal RNA (498 nucleotides) under uncultured bacterium. Its description in RNAcentral is "partial 16S ribosomal RNA". It matches the Rfam family "Bacterial small subunit ribosomal RNA", at positions 28 to 507 of the family's 1533-position model. The record is from RNAcentral.